Molecule: ribosomal RNA, 379 nt
Filed under: uncultured bacterium
Lineage: Bacteria
Description: bacterial SSU rRNA
Rfam family: Bacterial small subunit ribosomal RNA
Source: RNAcentral
UGGUGGGGGAUAACGUUCGGAAACGGACGCUAAUACCGCAUACGUCCUACGGGAGAAAGCGGGGGGAUCUUCGGACCUCGCGCCAUUAGAUGAGCCUAGGUCGGAUUAGCUAGUUGGUGAGGUAAUGGCUCACCAAGGCGACGAUCCGUAACUGGUCUGANAGGAUGAUCAGUCACACUGGAACUGAGACACGGUCCAGACUCCUACGGGAGGCAGCAGUGGGGAAUAUUGGACAAUGGGCGAAAGCCUGAUCCAGCCAUGCCGCGUGUGUGAAGAAGGUCUUCGGAUUGUAAAGCACUUUAAGUUGGGAGGAAGGGUAGUAACCUAAUACGUUGCUACUUUGACGUUACCGACAGAAUAAGCACCGGCUAACUUCGUG